Molecule: ribosomal RNA, 514 nt
Filed under: uncultured bacterium
Lineage: Bacteria
Description: partial 16S ribosomal RNA
Rfam family: Bacterial small subunit ribosomal RNA
Source: RNAcentral
GAUGAACGCUGGCGGCGUGCCUAAUACAUGCAAGUCGAGCGAACAGAUGAGAAGCUUGCUUCUCUGAUGUUAGCGGCGGACGGGUGAGUAACACGUGGGUAACCUACCUAUACGACUGGGAUAACUCCGGGACACCGGGGCUCAUACCGGAUAAUAUUUUGAACCGCAUGGUUCGAUAGUGAAAGACGGUUUCGGCUGUCACUUAUAGAUGGACCCGCGCCGUAUUAGCUGGUUGGUAAGGUAACGGCUUACCAAGGCGACGAUACGUAGCCGACCUGAGAGGGUGAUCGGCCACACUGGAACUGAGACACGGUCCAGACUCCUACGGGAGGCAGCAGUAGGGAAUCUUCCGCAAUGGGCGAAAGCCUGACGGAGCAACGCCGCGUGAGUGAUGAAGGUCUUCGGAUCGUAAAACUCUGUUGUUAGGGAAGAACAAAUUUGUUAGUAACUGAACAAGUCUUGACGGUACCUAACCAGAAAGCCACGGCUAACUACGUGCCAGCCGCCGCCGUAA